CCCUUAGAUGUUCUGGGCUGCACGCGCGCGACAAUGACGUUUGCAACGAGAUACGAGACCGAAAGGUUAAGUUGAUCUAGCAAGCUGCGUCGUGAUAGGGACUGUCGAUUGCAAUUAUUCGACACGAACGAGGAAUUCCUUGUAAUCGCACAUCAUCAGUGUGCGCUGAAUACGUCCCUGCCCUUUGUACACACCACCCGUCGCUCCUACCGAUCGAGUGAUCCGGUGAAUGUUUUGGAUCGGUUGCAAGUUGCGCGACGCGCUUCUUGCAUGCUGUGAAAUCAUGUAAGCCUUAUUGCUUAGAGGAAGGAGAAGUCGUAACA
Molecule: ribosomal RNA, 323 nt
Filed under: uncultured eukaryote
Lineage: Eukaryota
Description: partial 18S ribosomal RNA
Rfam family: Eukaryotic small subunit ribosomal RNA
Source: RNAcentral